This 497-nucleotide ribosomal RNA is filed under the name uncultured bacterium. RNAcentral describes it as "partial 16S ribosomal RNA". It matches the Rfam family "Bacterial small subunit ribosomal RNA", at positions 28 to 507 of the family's 1533-position model. The record is from RNAcentral.
GAUGAACGCUGGCGGCGUGCCUAAUACAUGCAAGUCGAGCGAACGGACGAGAAGCUUGCUUCUCUGUUGUUAGCGGCGGACGGGAGAGUAACACGUGGAUAACCUACCUAUAAGACUGGGAUAACUUCGGGAAACCGGAGCUAAUACCGGAUGAUAUUUUGAACCGCAUGGGUCAAAAGUGAAAGACGGUCGUGCUGUCACUUAUAGAUGGAUCCGGGCUGCAUUAGCUGGUUGGUAAGGUAACGGCUUACGAAGGCAAGGAUGCAUAGCCGAGCUGAGAGGGGGGUCGGCCACACGGGAACUGAGCCGGCGUCCAGGCUCCUACGGGAGGCAGCAGUAGGGAAUCUUCCGCAAUGGGCGAGAGCCUGACGGAGCGACGCCGCGUGAGUGACGAAGGUCUUCGGAUCGUAAAACUCUGUUAUUAGGGAAGAACAUCUGUGUAAGUAACUGUGCACUUCUUGACGGUACCUAGUCAGAAAGCCCCGGCUAACUACGUG